This 92-nucleotide non-coding RNA is filed under the name Herbaspirillum sp. Sphag64. Lineage: Bacteria; Pseudomonadati; Pseudomonadota; Betaproteobacteria; Burkholderiales; Oxalobacteraceae. RNAcentral also lists the same sequence under 1 other name. The record is from RNAcentral.
CUCCAUGGCGGGCCUUGGCAGGGAUACCUUCGGGUAUGCCGGUCUUCGAUAUUCUUCCGGUUCGCCAACCCUGUCUUGUGCCCGCCACCCUC